AUGCAUGUUAGCGCUUCUGUACCAUGUAAAGACAUAUUUUGCUAUUUUAAGUUACUAAGCUCUCCUCCAGAAGCUUUUUUGUUUCAUCUUUUACAUUUAGGUAAAUGAUUCUGAUCAAAUUAAUCUUUUGUUUGGUGUGAGGCAAAUUUCAAAGUUCUUGUUUAUCUUUUUUAAAAAUUUUCUAAUCCUUGUUAUUUAUGUUGUUUUUCAUGUGGCUUCUCAAUUGACCCAAGACCUUCCUUUGAAGCCAACCAUUCACCCUUUGGUCUCAGCCAUCUGUAUAGCAGGUCUUUAUACUACUUUCUAAAGAAAUAAAAAGAUCAGCCAUAUCUCAAGGAAGAACCAUGCCACACCUAACUGUUGAGUAAAGUGCCUUACAAAUAUGAAACGGAAACACAACGCGGCUAAUUAUCUCUACAAGGUCACAGAAAGAAAAGUGAUACAGCAAAAUUCUAGUCGGUGCAGUCUGGUUCCAGAGUCUAUAUAUAUAUGACUUCUACAGCUUCCUCCUGUCUUUCUAAGGUAAUACAGAAAUUAUACCAAGAACUGCCUCCCAGAAAAACACCUGAUCCAAGUGUUUUCAGAGAACUCUAUAAAAUCAUUGAGAUCAUCCAUUUCUUUUCCUAUGAUUUUGUGCAAGUCAUUCUUUUGAGUGUCAGUUUCCUACGAUCUAAAGAAGGCCACCAUUUCUUCUGCAAAAGUCACAAAUGUGUGAAGCACAAAAGGGCAACUGACUGCAAAAAUAUUAUUGAAAAAGAAUUGAAGAAACAAAGAGAUUAUGAGAAAAACAUAUUGCCACCCAGAUGAAUGAUGAUAGAUGCCAAAACACUUUUCAAGAGAAGAGGCUAUUUUCCAGACACAAAUGGUAUCCUGUAAACAUAAUCCAAAGAGAGGGAUUGCAAGCCUCCAAUGAACUCCCAUUGCCUGUAGAGUCGGGCUGCCUAUACCGAAGUCCACCUCCCCACAUCCGACAACCCCUGACAACCGCUGUGCCUAAUGACAGGAGGCCUCUGCGGGGCCAGGUUCCAUGCACCUCUGAGGACACUGGCAACUUGACGGCUCCUUGUUGGCUCCCGCAAAUUUCAAGUUCCCUUCUUUGUUCUCAUCAUCCGUAUAAACCCUACCCAUUCUCCAGUUGGCAUCCUGCCAACUUUCAUGAUAUUUUUUUGAAACUACUGCAAUUCACAUUAAUCUGUACUUUCUCUA
This is a long non-coding RNA of Canis lupus familiaris (dog), 1206 nucleotides long. RefSeq lists it as uncharacterized. NCBI's taxonomy places the organism in Eukaryota, Metazoa, Chordata, Mammalia, Carnivora, Canidae. The transcript has 7 exons. The record is from RefSeq and is a predicted model, not a curated record.